GACGAACGCAGGCGGCGUGCUUAACAUAUGCAAGUCGAACGGAAAGGCCCUUCGGGGUACUCGAGUGGCGAACGGGUGAGUAACACGUGGGUGAUCUGCCCUGCACUUUGGGAUAAGCCUGGGAAACUGGGUCUAAUACCGAAUAGGACCACGGCAUUCAUGUGCUGUGGUGGAAAGCUUUUGCGGUGUGGGAUGGGCCCGCGGCCUAUCAGCUUGUUGGUGGGGUAAUGGCCUACCAAGGCGACGACGGGUAGCCGGCCUGAGAGGGUGACCGGCCACACUGGGACUGAGAUACGGCCCAGACUCCUACGGGAGGCAGCAGUGGGGAAUAUUGCACAAUGGGCGCAAGCCUGAUGCAGCGACGCCGCGUGAGGGAUGACGGCCUUCGGGUUGUAAACCUCUUUCGCCAGGGACGAAGCGCAAGUGACGGUACCUGGAGAAGAAGGACCGGCCAACUACGUGCCAGCAGCCGCGGUAA
RNAcentral lists this ribosomal RNA (478 nucleotides) under uncultured bacterium. RNAcentral describes it as "partial 16S ribosomal RNA". It matches the Rfam family "Bacterial small subunit ribosomal RNA", at positions 28 to 523 of the family's 1533-position model. The record is from RNAcentral.